Molecule: ribosomal RNA, 497 nt
Filed under: uncultured bacterium
Lineage: Bacteria
Description: partial 16S ribosomal RNA
Rfam family: Bacterial small subunit ribosomal RNA
Source: RNAcentral
GAUGAACGCUGGCGGCGUGCCUAAUACAUGCAAGUCGAGCGAACAGACGAGGAGCUUGCUCCUCUGACGUUAGCGGCGGACGGGUGAGUAACACGUGGAUAACCUACCUAUAAGACUGGGAUAACUUCGGGAAACCGGAGCUAAUACCGGAUAAUAUAUUGAACCGCAUGGUUCAAUAGUGAAAGACGGUUUUGCUGUCACUUAUAGAUGGAUCCGCGCCGCAUUAGCUAGUUGGUAAGGUAGCGGCUUACCAAGGCAACGAUGCGUAGCCGACCUGAGAGGAUGAUCGGCCACACGAGAACUGAGACACGGUCCAGACUCCUACGGGAGGCAGCAGUAGGGAAUCUUCCGCAAUGGGCGAAAGCCUGACGGAGCAACGCCGCGUGAGUGAUGAAGGUCUUCGGAUCGUAAAACUCUGUUAUUAGGGAAGAACAAAUGUGUAAGUAACUAUGCACGUCUUGACGGUACCUAAUCAGAAAGCCACGGCUAACUACGUG